This 389-nucleotide long non-coding RNA is filed under the name Populus trichocarpa (black cottonwood). RNAcentral's name for it is "long non-coding RNA (PTRI_LNC000917)". Lineage: Eukaryota; Viridiplantae; Streptophyta; Magnoliopsida; Malpighiales; Salicaceae. The record is from RNAcentral.
CCCUUUUUUAUUAAAAAAAAAAAAAACCUUCAUUAUACAACCCAAACCAGUGCAAUGCUCAAAAAGAGUGGGGAAAAAGAAAAAUCGGCCACAGACAGAAAAAGAGAAGAAAAGAAAACGGAGGACCACCUUCUUCCUGAGCAGCAGGGAUGUGGAUGGUGUGGAGUGAAAACAACAAGGCACUGGGCAUCUUCCUCACGGGGAUCCAAACAAAACGAUCUUCUCCACCGCCAAUCGACUAGAUGAAGAACGACGGCUUGGAUAUGUACUGAUCAUGCCUGGUUUGUUUUUGCUGUUUCUCGUCCUUUCCGGGCUCAUGUUUGCCCUUCGAUAUUAUCCCCAGGCUUCUUCUUUUCUUCUCGAAAAGAAAAAAACGAUCUUUAUUGUCU